RNAcentral lists this ribosomal RNA (478 nucleotides) under uncultured bacterium. Its description in RNAcentral is "bacterial SSU rRNA". It matches the Rfam family "Bacterial small subunit ribosomal RNA", at positions 29 to 496 of the family's 1533-position model. The record is from RNAcentral.
AUUGAACGCUGGCGGAAUGCUUUACACAUGCAAGUCGAACGGCAGCACGGGGGCAACCCUGGUGGCGAGUGGCGAACGGGUGAGUAAUACAUCGGAACGUGCCCAAUCGUGGGGGAUAACGUAGCGAAAGCUACGCUAAUACCGCAUACGAUCUACGGAUGAAAGCGGGGGAUCGCAAGACCUCGCGCGAAUGGAGCGGCCGAUGGCAGAUUAGGUAGUUGGUGGGGUAAAGGCUCACCAAGCCGACGAUCUGUAGCUGGUCUGAGAGGACGACCAGCCACACUGGGACUGAGACACGGCCCAGACUCCUACGGGAGGCAGCAGUGGGGAAUUUUGGACAAUGGGCGCAAGCCUGAUCCAGCCAUUCCGCGUGCAGGAUGAAGGCCUUCGGUUGGUAACUAGCUUUGUUCAGGGAAGGAAAUACUUCUGGGCGUAAUACCUCGGAGGAUGACGGUACCCGGCCAUAAGAAGACACCGG